UCCAAACAACAGUAAAGGCUCGAAAAAAAAAUCUGAUUAGUCUCCACUCAGAAUAUCAAUCGUUGACAUCCGAGUGGCUCCCUCAGCGCGCUUCAAAACAACCAAUGCGCACAGACAAAAACUCGAGAAAGAACUUCUCCGCGGAGCGUCCAUGCUUCAAAGAGCGGGCAGACACGAUCCUCACGCUCACCCCGGUUGCCAAGGCUGCCAAGAGGCUUCGUCUGGACCAGGGAAAUGGACAGAACCUGCCACUGCAACCCACCAGGCCGAUCGGGCAGACUCUGUGCCACUACCGCCCUGCCCUGCCACGUCCCUGGCUUCCCUGGGAAACUCUGGAUGUCGGUGGAGACCGACCUGAUGAAAUCAGAGCGGGAGUACAGACCUUCUCCCCGUUCUCCCUCCUCCUCUUCUAGCUUGUCUAUUUCCUCAAUCGUUACUUCCAGCGGGGCUGCGUUGAGCUUCUCUCACUGGGAACGCGUCGUAUUGCAGCGAAGCACAAUGAGCUGUCUGUACCAGCCAUCAGAACCACCACCACUACCCCCUGGACCAGCUACGGACCAUCCAGCUACGAUGCCCCGAAGUCGGCCUCAGCCUCUACCCCCCCUCUCUCCCAUCCACCACCACCACCUACUGAGCCAAUGGAUCCAGUGGAGAUACCCCAGCGAACAACGCCCUCUCCCCAGGCUUGGGUGACCGUAGCCAGGCUAGUGAGACUGGAGUGGCCUCUAUGAUGGAUGCCAGCACCAUGACUUCCACAAGCUGUCUGUUUUAAGUCCAAGCCUACCACCAUCACCACUAUCGCUGCCACCAUGGGGGAAGGAUGAGGAUUGGUGAGGAUUCCCGGGCGCAGCUCUGGCUAUCGAUGGCCUCCCCCUGGAUGUCUCACUUCAAGCCUCUCGGCACAGCAACACAAAAGAGCCGACAUACCUUCCUUUCCCUCCUCUUCCUCCUCCUUCGCUCUCGUUCUCACUCCACUUCAGCCCUGCGCUAAGUGUGGCUACAACCAGGGGGCUACAGCCCACAAUCUCCACCGCCGGCCCAAAGAGGGGAGACUAGGCCAGGGACGCUACCACCUUCAUCGCCCAUCCCGCAUAUACUCUCACAAAGAUACAUAGGCACAUCUAGAUUCAUAAAUGAAGAUACCCUGCAUUAUAUGUGGCUGUUUCUCUCUUUGUCCAUACAUUGUUCACAUUAUACUGCAUCUACCAGCUGCAAUAUUACAGCUGCAUCUCUCUAUUCUAUUCCCUGUGUGUACACUACUUUCAGAGCCCUAUAGACCCUGUUUAAAAGUACUAUGCUUGUAUUCGUUUAGACUGCACUUUGUUUGCCAACAGGGGGCAGUAGAAUCAUACCAUCGCACACACACACACACACACACACACACACACACACACACACACACACACACACACACACUAUUACAUUACAACAGCCACUUGUAUAAGUGUUUAUGUUGUGUGAGUUUAGGGGCUGCGUUCCAAAUGGCACCCUAUUCGCUAUAUAGUGCACUACUUUUAACCAGGAACAAUAGGGCCCUUGUCAAAAAUGUUAUAUAAAUUCAAGUCAUUAUAUAGGGCUUCACAAACACACACACACACACACAAACAGGUCUGAGUCUGGAGAUGAGCUAAUGUUGAAAGCCACAGGUACACAAGCAGAGCCUUGUAGUCUGAGGGUAAAGUGCUUAACCACAACCUCUCUCUCUCUCUCUCUCUCUCUCUCUCUCUCUUUCCCUCUCUCUUAAAGAACAGGACAAAGGACAACGUUUUUCCAGACAGAUCAAUAACUGUGUGUAUCUGUGUGUGUGGGUGGUCCCACAGGACAAAAGAGAGACGUAGAGGAGCCAAACCAAGCACAUUAAGUGUGUGGCCAUCUUGUAAGCUCUGUCUCUGUCCAUACUGGUCUCAUAGACUAGACUUGACAUAGUAAACGUAAAUCCGGGACACCCAAAUUAAUAUGAUAUGUUAAGUUUGGUACGGUUAAAUAAGACAGAAGGUUACUUAAGGCAAAAACGAAAGUAGGGUGGUUGAUCAUUUUAGCUAAUUAGCUACUUAGCGACUGCUUACUACUUUUUAGCUACUUUGCAACUACUUAGCAUGUUAGCUAACCCUAACCUUAACCCUUUAACCUACUUCUUAACUGUAAUGUAAGCCAGCUAGCAAACAUUAGCAUUAGCCACCUAGCCACCCCUAGCUAACGUUAGCCGCAACAAAUUGGAAUUCGUAACAUGUUGUACGUUUUUCAAAUUGGUAACAUAUUGUAUGAAUGGCAAUUCACUGAUAUGAAUACUGAUAUGAAAUGGAUGAUGGACAUCCACAAAUUAAUACGUACCAUACGAAACGUAACAUUUGAUUCUAAAUGGCGUGAUCUCAGAUUUACAUACAGAAUAAUACGAAAUGCUCUGAGACCAUGUUGCUCUGUCUGCUGUAUCUCAUUUGGGUGAUAACAAGCAGUGUCUGUAAUAUUGAUUUUUAGAGGGCAGACGGGGGAGGAAUGUGUGUGGUUAGAGAGAGGAGGGAGAGGCAGAGUGAUAGAGAGAAAGGAAGGGAGGGAGAGUAUGCAAGAGAGACAGGGCCAGAUAGAGAUUAAGAAGGAGAGAAUGAGAUAGAGAGAGAGAGCGGAAGGGAAGGAGAGAAAGAUGGUCUUUCUUCUAUCAACAGAUAAUGAAGUGUGUUAAAAGAAGAAUGUGUGUGCCUGGCACCAUUUGACUCUGGAAGUGAGGGAGGGAGAGAGAGAGAGAGAGCUGUUAAAGAGAGGCUUUGUGUGGUGAGAGCAGGGUUGGGGAGUAAGUUAUUACAUGUAAUCAGUUGCAUGUAAUCUUAUUACAAAAAAACAAACUGUAAUCGGUUAAAGUUAGUUCACGUUAACGUUUGUGUGAAAAUAUACAUCAUGACACCUUUCAAUUACAUUCAAUUCAGCAUUGGAAAAAAAGUGCACGUUUAAGUUUGUUCCACGUGAGCGAGUCUGACCAGAAGUCAGAGAUCACUAUGAUGACACACCAAAUUCGUUUGAUGGAUUUUGGUUGUCUUCUUCUAAUUCCUCUUAUGGGGAAAGUAAUCCAAAAGUAAUCUGAUUACGUUACUGAUUACAAUUUUGGACUGGUAACUAGUAACUGUAAAGGAUUACAUUUAGAAUGUAACUUACCCAACCCUGGAUGAGAGUAGGAUGGAUGAGCAGAGAGACUAGAGAGAGGCAAAGAGAAGUAUAGAGGUACAGUAUAUAUAGAGAGGGAAACUGGCAGGGAGAAAAGGAAGGUAGAGCUGGAGAUAUUAUAAAAAGGAAGGCGGGAGAAGGGAAGGAGAAAUUGUGUGUGAGAGGUAGAAAGAGAGGGAGUGUAGAGGCAGUGUGUUUAGGCAUAGGGUUCGAGAGAUAAAAAGAGAGAGAUAAAGACAGAGUGAGAGACAGAAACUGAAAGAACAUACAAAGAAAGCAGCACAUAUCAAAGGUGGAAAUUAUUACAUGUAAUCAGUUACAUGUAAUCUGAUUACAAGUAGUCCAAAAAGUAAUCAUCUAGUUUUUCAAAGUAUCUGUAAUCUAAUUACAACAUUUUUGCUGGUAACAGAACCGAUUAGUUGUUUUUGUUUGUAAUCAGAUUAUAUGUAAUCAGAUCUCCAACUCUCUAACUCCCCAAAUACCAUCUCUUGUCUAUCCUCCUUCUUUCCUCCUUUUCCCUUUCUCUUUUGUAAUUCAUACCCUCCCUUACACUUUCUUUGUCUCCUUCCCUCUAUUUAUAUGUUUUCCCUCUCUCUAGUCAGCUACUAGUUACAAACAGGAAGUGUUUUUUACGAGAACAUGCCCCUGGCUCCCUUUCUAUUUCUUUUCUAGUUUCAGCAGUGACGGACUGUGUGUGUGGUGCUGACAGAGGGGUUUUCUCCUUCUCUGCUGGCGCCCCCCUCCUACACACACACACACACACACACACACACACACACACACACAGCACCCUUCCUUUUAUAUCUUUGUUAUAUUCUGGUUGCCUGGCAGCAUAUUUCCUUUCUUCCUACCACACGCUCAUUAAUUACUCUCUCUCUUGUUUCUCUUCUGGGUCUCUCUCUCUCUUGUUUCUCUUCUGGGUCUCUCUCUCGUGCUCUCUCUUUCUCCUUCCCUCUUUCUCUCUCUCCACUCCCUGUAUUCUUCAUCCCUCCUUUCUGGACUGCAUGGGCAAACGCGAGUAGUUAUGGACGACACAGUGUGACUCUCUGACAGCUGGAGAAAGUAAGAGAGCCUUGUUUCUUGCUCCAGUGUAAUUCAGUGUAACCCCCCCGACCAUUAUUAGUUUAACUUCCUCUUUAAAUUGCCUAUUGAAUGAUGAUCUGUGAUAAUGGGCUAUAGUGGGUUAAUGGGGUUGUGACUUGUAGGGACAAUAGUUGCACUAUUGAAUCUGUGUGUGCAGUGAGAGAAUGUGAAUUAAGGCAUAAAGGCCACUUGGUUGCAGGUUGUGACUUCUUGGGCAACAGUGACAGCAUUGAACUGUGUGUAGAGAAUACCAAGCCAGUGUCAUUGUAGCACUAAGGCCACUAGGGGGCAUUGUGAUUUUAUGAUUUUUAGCUGUUGAAGAAGCAGCAGCUGUUCUGUGUUUGGUUUGGACCUCGGGAAGAACACGACAAAAUACAGAACACUUAUGGCCAAGUAUGUAUUAUACAGAACACUAAUGGACAUUCUAUCACAGAGUUAAAAGUGUAGCUGUUGAGGCUGGUUACAAGCUGUAACCAGCCUCAAAGAUAUAUGAGACAAGCUUUCUAAUCUAUGACAAUGAGAUGAUUUGUGUUUGCAAUAUGUUUGCUUGUAUGAUGGCUACACAUAGCCUGGGUGUCAGUAUUGUUUUUGCUCUCAUGCCAACUCUUUAUGGAAUUCCCAUGCUAGACAAUGACAAUGGAGAAGGCAAAAGCACAAACAGAUCUGGGGCCAGGCUAGGAUCAAAUGGUAUUGUGUUUUGAUGAUUUGGGUUCAUUCGACUUGACUUGUUUUACAUUUAACCCGUUCCUCGUGGGAAUGGGAUGAUUGUAGUAGGAGCUGAACACAUGCAGACAAUCAUCCUGGGAUUACAACAACUGUUGAGAUUAUCUAGUCAAAUAAACUGUUGUCACUUUAACUCUCAAUCCUAAUCUGUUGGUUUGGUUACAGAGACAGAUUAUAACCAAAUGGAAUUAGAAUUGGGUCAUUAUGGCAGAAUAAA
Molecule: non-coding RNA, 5176 nt
Organism: Oncorhynchus mykiss (rainbow trout)
Lineage: Eukaryota; Metazoa; Chordata; Actinopteri; Salmoniformes; Salmonidae
Source: RefSeq, a predicted model, not a curated record